This 763-nucleotide ribosomal RNA is filed under the name uncultured Streptococcus sp. RNAcentral's name for it is "bacterial SSU rRNA". It matches the Rfam family "Bacterial small subunit ribosomal RNA", at positions 28 to 776 of the family's 1533-position model. Lineage: Bacteria; Bacillati; Bacillota; Bacilli; Lactobacillales; Streptococcaceae. The record is from RNAcentral.
GACGAACGCUGGCGGCGUGCCUAAUACAUGCAAGUAGAACGCUGAAGGAGGAGCUUGCUUCUCUGGAUGAGUUGCGAACGGGUGAGUAACGCGUAGGUAACCUGCCUGGUAGCGGGGGAUAACUAUUGGAAACGAUAGCUAAUACCGCAUAAGAGUAGAUGUUGCAUGACAUUUGCUUAAAAGGUGCAAUUGCAUCACUACCAGAUGGACCUGCGUUGUAUUAGCUAGUUGGUGGGGUAACGGCUCACCAAGGCGACGAUACAUAGCCGACCUGAGAGGGUGAUCGGCCACACUGGGACUGAGACACGGCCCAGACUCCUACGGGAGGCAGCAGUAGGGAAUCUUCGGCAAUGGACGGAAGUCUGACCGAGCAACGCCGCGUGAGUGAAGAAGGUUUUCGGAUCGUAAAGCUCUGUUGUAAGAGAAGAACGAGUGUGAGAGUGGAAAGUUCACACUGUGACGGUAUCUUACCAGAAAGGGACGGCUAACUACGUGCCAGCAGCCGCGGUAAUACGUAGGUGGCAAGCGUUAUCCGGAUUUAUUGGGCGUAAAGAGAGUGCAGGCGGUUUUCUAAGUCUGAUGUGAGAGCCUUCGGCUUAACCGGAGAAGUGCAUCGGAAACUGGAUAACUUGAGUGCAGAAGAGGGUAGUGGAACUCCAUGUGUAGCGGUGGAAUGCGUAGAUAUAUGGAAGAACAACAGUGGCGAAGGCGGCUACCUGGUCUGCAACUGACGCUGAGACUCGAAGCAUGGGUAGUGAACAGG